Long non-coding RNA from Helianthus annuus (common sunflower), 580 nucleotides. RefSeq lists it as uncharacterized. The transcript is spliced from 5 exons. NCBI's taxonomy places the organism in Eukaryota, Viridiplantae, Streptophyta, Magnoliopsida, Asterales, Asteraceae. The record is from RefSeq and is a predicted model, not a curated record.
AGAUUACAGAAGCUCUUUAUCUGGCCGAGCUUAUUAGUUAUCCUCAUGCAGGGACUAUUGUGUUUUCCGAAAACAUCAAUUUACAAAUGGAUCCAUCCAGUAUUUACUUUUACAUCAGGGCCUACAAGGCCACCAAAACUCUUUACGGAAGCGGAACUCUUAGAGCGUAUGCAUGAGUCAAGCAAUUGGACUAAUGCUACAAGGCAUAAAAUAUCAAGAAUCUGAUUCACAGGUCUUAUGCUAUCAGAGACGGAUCAUGCUUGGAGCCAACUAAUCUUGGUUUGGGGUUAGUUUUGGCAUAUGAGCGUAUGGGACUCGAUUGUAAAUCAUGGAAACCAAUACUUCACCAAGAGAUGGAGCAAGACCUGAAAGCAAUUUGUUUGAAAGAUGUGGCAAAAGAAGUGUUGUUGAAAAAAAUGUGGACAAGAUGAAGGAAUGCUUUUUGCAAGUCCAAAAUACCGAAAUAGACAAUUAGGGGGUUCAUAGGAACCCGUUUGGUUCGUAAUUUAUAGUGUUCAAAUAUAUAGAAAAUUCUGAAGGAACCUCUUGAUAUUUUGUAACAAAACCUUAUAACCAAAAG